This 427-nucleotide ribosomal RNA is filed under the name uncultured bacterium. Its description in RNAcentral is "partial 16S ribosomal RNA". It matches the Rfam family "Bacterial small subunit ribosomal RNA", at positions 355 to 774 of the family's 1533-position model. The record is from RNAcentral.
UAGGGAAUCUUCCGCAAUGGGCGAAAGCCUGACGGAGCAACGCCGCGUGAGUGAUGAAGGUCUUCGGAUUGUAAAACUCUGUUAUUAGGGAAGAACAAACGUGUAAGUAACUGUGCACGUCUUGACGGUACCUAAUCAGAAAGCCACGGCUAACUACGUGCCAGCAGCCGCGGUAAUACGUAGGUGGCAAGCGUUAUCCGGAAUUAUUGGGCGUAAAGCGCGCGUAGGCGGUUUUGUAAGUCUGAUGUGAAAGCCCACGGCUCAACCGUGGAGGGUCAUUGGAAACUGGAAAACUUGAGUGCAGAAGAGGAAAGUGGAAUUCCAUGUGUAGCGGUGAAAUGCGCAGAGAUAUGGAGGAACACCAGUGGCGAAGGCGACUUUCUGGUCUGUAACUGACGCUGAUGUGCGAAAGCGUGGGGAUCAAACA